GACGAACGCUGGCGGCGUGCCUAAUACAUGCAAGUAGAACGCUGAAGGAGGAGCUUGCUUCUCUGGAUGAGUUGCGAACGGGUGAGUAACGCGUAGGUAACCUGCCUGGUAGCGGGGGAUAACUAUUGGAAACGAUAGCUAAUACCGCAUAAUAGCAGUUGUUGCAUGACAACUGUUUGAAAGGUGCAAUUGCACCACUACCAGAUGGACCUGCGUUGUAUUAGCUAGUUGGUGGGGUAACGGCUCACCAAGGCGACGAUACAUAGCCGACCUGAGAGGGUGAUCGGCCACACUGGGACUGAGACACGGCCCAGACUCCUACGGGAGGCAGCAGUAGGGAAUCAUCGGCAAUGGACGGAAGUCUGACCGAGCAACGCCGCGUGAGUGAAGAAGGUUUUCGGAUCGUAAAGCUCUGUUGUAAGAGAAGAACGAGUGUGAGAGUGGAAAGUUCACACUGUGACGGUAUCUUACCAGAAAGGGACGGCUAACUACGUG
RNAcentral lists this ribosomal RNA (495 nucleotides) under uncultured bacterium. RNAcentral's name for it is "partial 16S ribosomal RNA". It matches the Rfam family "Bacterial small subunit ribosomal RNA", at positions 28 to 507 of the family's 1533-position model. The record is from RNAcentral.